Molecule: transfer RNA, 67 nt
Filed under: Lepilemur septentrionalis (northern sportive lemur)
Lineage: Eukaryota; Metazoa; Chordata; Mammalia; Primates; Lepilemuridae
Description: tRNA-Pro
Source: RNAcentral
CAAGGAAUAGUUUAUGUAGAACUUCAGCUUUGGGUGCUGAGAGUGAGGUAAAAUGCUUCUUCCUUGA